Molecule: long non-coding RNA, 7585 nt
Filed under: Homo sapiens (human)
Lineage: Eukaryota; Metazoa; Chordata; Mammalia; Primates; Hominidae
Description: HSALNT0134935
Source: RNAcentral
GGACAGAAUGUGAUUCCCAGAUGAUGCUGAUCAUAAAUCCAACCCACCCACCAGACAUUAAUGUCUGCAGUGGACCUGAAACCUACAAAGUGCUCAUUCCAGAGUCUUACAUUUUGAGAUAGAGCAGGUGCCCCUGCUGGGAAUUCGGACAACUUUGAGCAGAUAGAUGCACAGUUUUCUUUGAUACAUCCAGGUGUGGGUUAUGGUAACCCUGCUCAACUAGGAAGGUUCACCAUUGGAAGAACUAGGGGGCGGCUUGUCUAGAGCAAGGUUUUUAUUUUUUUAGACAGUCUCAUUCUGUCACCCAGGCUAGAGUGCAGUAGUGCCAUCUCAAUUAACAGCAACCUUUGCCCCCCAGGUUCGUGCCUCAGCCUCCCCAGUAGUUGGGAUUACGGUGUGUGCCACCAUGCCCGGCUAAUAUUUUUGUAUUUUUAGUAGAGAUGGGGUUUCGCCAUGUUGGCCAGGUUGGUCUCAAACUCCUGACCUCAUGUGAUCUGCUCCCCUCGGCCUCCCAAGGUGCUGGGAUUACAGGUAUAAGCUACUGCCCCCAGCCUCCUCUUACUUUUGUGUCAUCCACAAGAGUUCCUAGGAAGCCGUAACUAAGGAGAGGAGCUUGUACGUGCACAAUGAAUAGGGUAUCAAUUGCCCAACAAUAAGAAAGCUAUUCUCAGAGCCACUUGUCUGUUCACUUCACGUGUAUUGAGCAUCUACAAUGAGUAAAGCUCUGCUCUAGACUCUGUAGGGAGCAUUUCAAAUAGACACGAUGAGCUCCAAAGGCAUCUGAAAGAUGAGUUUAAGUUUCCCCUCUGGUUUAGAGGAGUUUUGGUGUCAUGCGUUGUGUCUGGCAAUGUACUGUUUCUCUCUUUCCCAUCUUCUGGGUGGCAGUCUCUUCUCUGUCUUCAGCUUUUAGGAUAAAUAACACUUCCUUGAGAGGCCUGCCCUGAGAACCUUAUUUAAAGAAGUCACCUCCUUCCUCCCUUCCCCCUCGAUCACAUCAGCUUGCUUAUUUACUUCAUAGCACGGAUCACAAUUUGCAAUUAGAUAUUUGUUUCCUUGCGUGUGUAUUUUCUGUCUCAUACACUUGUUUAUUAUCUCCACAAGUUCAGAUCCUCUCUUCAUUUUUCAUCGUGGCUGGCGUCAUGUAAGUUUCUUGAAGGCUGGGAUCAUGGCUUAGAUUUUGGAUUUCUCAGAGGGCAUAGCAUAACUACUGGAAAAUACAAAUAGCUGAUUGAUGGUUGUUUGCUUUAUUAAUAAAGUCAAAGAUCACAGAUGUUGCUCAAUGCCACACAGUUAAAUUUUCAUUAAAAAACAAAAAUCAACAGAUUGUACCUCUAGUUGUCUGUAGUUCACCACCACAUCACUCUGUAAACACUUCUGACCAGUCCUGGGAAAACAGCACUCACCAUGAGCAAAAGGAGAUGAUGGAUCUUUUUUCCACUAUCUUGCUCCACACCAAAAGUUAGUACUUUCAUGGUACUGUGAACUUUAGAAGAAAAAACAAUGCUAUAAAUCUAGAGUACCAGCUAUUUGCAGCACCGUGUUCAUUUCUGAUCCUUAUCAAUGAGCAUGCCGACUGAUUUAUAUUUGUAGCCCAAGCAUACUUUUUUUUGCAUUCUUUUCUCUUAACAUCUUUUGCAUGCACUUUGAUCCAUCCACAGAAUCUGUAAACUUAAUUCCUUUUAAUAGCAACAUAACAUUCCAUUGUCUUAAAGUACCAUCGUUUGCAUAACCUUUUCCCAAUUUUGGGCAUUGGGUCAUGUCCCAUGUUUCCACUGUUAUGAACGGUGUUACCAUAAACAGCUUUGUGCCGUUUGCUUUCUUUUCUCUUCUGCAUGUUUCCUUGGGGUAUAUUCCAAAAGCAAGAUGAUUGGGUCAAAGGAUAGGAACAAUUUUAUAGCUCUUUUCAUAUAUUGCCAGACUGAUUUCGAGGGGAUGGAUACUUUUUGAGAGCACCAAAUAAGACAAUGCAGGCCUGCAGAAGUUGUAGUUUAACUGGAAAAGCUGGGCCUGUGUGUGGCAUCAGAUCCCUUCUAAGUGACCCUUUCUGAGUCUUCUACUGUUAGCUCCAGUUAUCUCAAUGGGUGGAGAAAACCAGCACCCUCAGUAAACCUCUCUAAAAAUACCCAGAAAUGCAACUUGCUUCCUUUUCAUGAGAGGAUUUUUAUCUCUGAGAUGGAGUUGCAUGGCCUGACCUGGGUCCUAAGCCCAGAUUUGCCACCUCCUUGCUGUGUGCCCUUAGGCAAGUUACCUAACCUCUCUGAGCCUGAUUCCUUCCUUAUCUGUAAAUGAGGUUCGCUAGCACUGCACUGUUAUUGUUACUUAUGAGCCACCUAGUGUGUGGGGAUUGACCACGUGUUUCUUCCUUCUCCUUUGUACAACCAGCAUCCAGCUCUGUGCCGCCCCAUGCUUAGGGGUAAUAAAUGUCUGUUGUGGACUGGACAGAUUGUCUUUUUCCAUGAUCUUGCUUCAGUGUUUAGGAAUUAGAAAAACAGAAAAGUUUCUGGGCCAGGAGCAGUGGCUCACACCUGUAAUCCCAGCACUUUCGGAUGCCAAGGCAGGAGGAUCGCUUGAGCCCAGGAAUUUGAGACCAGCAUGGGCAACAUAGCGAAACCAUAUCUCUACCAAAAAAUUUUUUUUUAAAUUAGCUGGGCAUAUUGGGGCUCACCUGUAGUCUCAGCUACCCAAGAGGCUUAGGCAGGAGGAUCACUUGAGCCCAGCUGGUCGAGGCAGCAGUGAGCUAUGAUGAAAAGAAAAAGAAAAAGAAAAGAAAAGGAGAGGAGAGGAGAGGAAAGAAGAGAAGAGAGAAGAGGAGUUUCUGAACUUGCACAUGCACUUGAGUGUUGGUAGGAUGUGCCAGGUCCAAGCCUAAUCUGUUGCUGCAGGAAGAGCAGCUCCAGUUUUCAAGACCUCCAAAGGGGCUGGGCGCGGUGGCUCACGCCUGUAAUCCCAGCACUUUGGGAGGCCGAGGCGGGCGGAUCAUGAGGUCAGGAGAUCGAGACCAUCCUAGCUAACACGGUGAAACCCCGUCUCUACUAAAAAUAGAAAACAUUAGCCGGGCGCAGUGGCGGGCGCCUGUAGUUCCAGCUACUCGGGAGGCUGAGGCAGGAGAAUGGCGUGAACCUGGGAGGUGGAGCUUGCAGUGAGCCGAGAUCACACCACUGCACUCCAGCCUGGGCGACACAGGAAGACUCCAUCUCAAAAAAAAAAAAAAAAGACCUCCAAAGCUAUAAAAGGUUUGUAGAAGAGAGGGACUAGAAGCUUAGGGGGACAGAUCAGAGAAAGUGGUUCCUUACAGAGAAAGCUGUUCCCAGAAGGCCCUGGGUCUCCAGGUCUCCAGGGAUGUUUGCAACAUCCUCUAAGAGGGCUUGGGAGGAUGUGUUUAAGACCUGCCUGGCAUCUCUCUGGUCUCCUUCCUGCUGCGGAAGAAGGAUCUGGAGAAGUGAAACGAUGUAUGUGCAGGUGGUCCACAACUGCUAAGUAAAAUUCCUUCUGCUCUGCAAUGUUCCAGGCUAAUGACGGCCACAGUUUCAUACUACUUCUCUCAUUGAGAAAUGGCACCUAAUGCUCCUGCUGUUGGAGCUGGGCUGUUCUUAGUGACUUCCUAGACCAGUCAAAUGCUACAGAAGUGACAUUCUAGAACCUCUGAGGAGAGGACAUAAAGAAGCUUUGCAGCUUCUACCCAGGUCUCUUACAACACCUUUUCCGGGAGCCCUAGGCCACCAGUCUAGGCCACCUAGACUACCCUGAGACUGCCAUGGCACAGAGGCCCUGGGAACGUGCUCUGGUCGGUGGUUCCAACUAGUCCCACUGAGGCUCUAGAGAUGUGAGCGGAGCCAUGCUGGAUACUGCAGAGGAGGCAGUCGGCUUGUUGAACACCACUGCCUGACCCCAGCUGAUACCAUGCACAGCAGAAAAAUGGUCUGAUUGAACUCUGGAAUUCCUGACUCACAAAGUCAUGAGCUACAAUGCUGUUGAUUUAACCCACUAGGUUCUGGGCCAUCGAUUACGCAGCAAAAGAUAACUAAACGCCAGGGCUACCUAGGCUGUGCAGAGCCUCUGCUGGGCUGCAUUUCCGUCACUCAGCUCUGCUUAGCGGAACCAACACUGGGAAUUGUGAUUUCUCUUCUUAUUGUUUGAAGUAAAUAUCAGAGGCCAUGCAGAAGUCAUUGACGUCAGUUAUUCUAUUGGACAGGAUUCCCCAAAUGUAUUUUUGGACUAGAGUCUAUUAUUUAUGAUCCCUUGUUGAAUUUUACAGUCAGAUAGGGCAGGAAGAGCUGGCAGAGUUCCAGAAUCCUAGCUAAAUGGAUUUUUCUGUCGUAUUUAAAGAGGAAAUGGCGAUGCAAAAAUCCCUAGAGCUUUUCCUGUUAAAGCGAGCUCUCCAGUUACGUGUGGGGUGACUCUGUUCUAUGGGAGUUCUGUCCUGAGAGCUCAAAUCCUAAAAUUUGAGGAUCUGUUUAUAGGCAGUCAGUACACCUUCUUUUUUUUUGAGAUGGAGUCUCAUCCUGUCGCCCAGGCUGGAGUGCAAUGGCGUGAUCUUGGCUCACUGCAAUCUCCGCCUUCCAGGUUCAAGUGAUUCUCCUGCCUCAGACUCCCAAAUAGCUGGGAUUACAGGUGCCUGCCACCAUGCCCAGCUAAUUUUUGUAUAUUUUUGUAGAGACAGGUUUCACCAUGUUGGCCAGGCUGGUCUCAAAAUCCUGGCCUCAAAUGAUCCACCCACCUCUGCCUCCCAAAGUCCUGGGAUUACAGGUGUGAGCCACUGCAUGCAGCCUAGUACACCUUCUUGACAAAUUUCAUUACUCUUCAGGUAAGCAAGGAGAUUGUAUUUAAGUUUAUUUGAAUUUUAGUUAACUAUUCCAGAAGGUUAAAAAUGUGCCUUCCCUCGCUAAUGUUUCCAGGUAUCACCUGGUGACUAUUAUCAGGACCUCGACAUACAAGAGAAUCCAAAAUGGUGAAAUAACUGACUUACCAGUUUUCAGCUUUCUGUGUUAUGACAUGUCAAUUAUUAACUAGGAAACUAAUCAUUAAAGGCAUUAACAAAAUUGGUCUCGUUGGGUCACAUUGCUCCUUACACAAUGGGGCUGGUUAACAUUUGGACUUUCGUCGCUUCCCUAGCGACCUUGUCUCUCUCUUCUGUGUAUUUUUAAGGGAGUCCACUCUUUUAUUCCCAUUUACUUUCAUGGAUGUGCUAGUGACUGCUAGAGACAUCAAAACUUGCCCGGGUACAGUGGCUCAUGCCUGUAAUUCUAGCACUUUGGGAGGCUGAGGUGGUAGAGUUGUUUGAAGCCAAGAGUUUGAGACCAGCCUGGGUAACAAAGCAAGACCCUGUCUCUACAAAAAAUAAAAAAAAUUAUCUGGGUGUGGUGGCACGUGCCUGUAGUCCUAGCUUCUCAGAAGGCUGAAGCAGGAGCAUCAUUGAGCCCAGUGCUGCUGUAAGCCGUGAUCAUACCACUAUACUCCAUCCUGGGCAACACGAGGCUCUGUCUCAAAAAAUAAAAAACAGGCCAGGCAUGGUGGCUCACACCUGUAAUCCCAGCACUUUGGAAGGUCGAGGCAGGCAGAUUACCUGAGGUCGGGAGUUCGAGAUCAGCCUGGCCAACAUAAUAAAACCCCAUCUCUACUAAAAAUAUAAAAAUUAGCUGGAUGUGGUGGCAUGUGCCUGUAGUCCCAGCUACUUGGGAGGCUGAGACAGGAGGAUCACUUGAACCUGGGAGCCGGAAGUUGCAGUGAGCCGAGAUCGUGCCACUGCACUCAAGCCUGGGUGACAGAGCAAGACUCUGUCUCAAAAUAAAUAAAUAAAUAAAAAUAAAUAAAAAUAAAAAACAAACAAACAAAACCUAAAGCUUCAUCUUCACCUCAACUCUUCCAAGAAGAUUUUCAAACCUUAGUGCUUCUAUAUUGAUUCAUUUCUUCCUCUUCAUUCAUUUAUUUUUUUCCCCACCCAUGCAUUUAUUUACUCAUUCCAUAAGCAUUGGUUUGAUGUUUAAGAUGUGCCAGAUACAGUGCUAGGCAUCUUGGGUACAAGAUGAACACAAGGCUCCGCUUUACAGGGGCUCAUUCUUCUCAGUAGCUCCUCAAUAAACAGAAAGCGACCCCUCCCUGAGAGGCCGUGCUAGGAAUCCGUGUUGGAGAAACAGAAGCUCUGAGUGAAAAAUGAACACAAGUCUGGAUGGUAACAACACAGGAAGGAACCGAGGGCUAUCUGCCUCUGCAUCCUGGCCACAUCGCUCUGCUCCUUUUUCUCCCGCCUUGCUCUCACUGGUCCCUCCACUGCACUUAGUCACAUAUUGAUUCAAAGUUCGAUGCUUCCAAUGUUUGUGCUGAAAAAGUCCUUCUCUGAAUUCUACUACACCAGUGUCUCCUUGCUUCAAGGCCGUGCUUUUCGGAGGAUCCUACUGCAGUCACAGAGCAUUCUCUACUAACCAAUUAUGGAAAAGCAGCAACUGAAACUGGUAACAAGAAGAGGUUUAAUUGGAUUUACAGUUUCACAUGGCUGGGGAGGUCUCAGAAUCAUGGUGGGAGGCAAAAGGCACUUUUUCAAACUGUGGUUCAGCAGCUCAGGACACAUGAAGUUAUACACACUGCAGCCUGUAGUCCCAGCUACUCGGAGGCUGAGGUGGGAGGAUCACUUGAUCCCAGGAGGCGGAGGUUGCGGUGAGCUGAGAUUACACCACUGCACUCCAGCCUGUAGUCCCAGCUACUUGGGAAGCUGAGGCAGGAGAAUCGCUUGAACCUGGGAGGCAGAGGUUGCAGUGAGCGGAGAUUGCACCAUUGCACUCCAGCCUGGGUGACAGAGAGAGACUCUCAAAAAAAAAAAAAAAAAGAAUGGAGGCUGUAGUGUAGCAAAUGCUUCUCCUGUGAAGCCCCCAGAACAUGCCAGGCUCUGAAGUGGGCUGGUGUUUGUGGCUUUUCUCCCUCUGCUCUUCUUCGAGUCUGUUUCUAUGUAUCCUGUCCCUAGAGAGAAGCCAAGGGCACAUGUCACCAGAAAAUAGCUGCAAGGCCAGAGUCUUACACAAGGAUUUGGAUACGGAACAGGCUUGGACAGACAAGGAGGGGACUGUUGCAGACAUGGGGCAGCGAGCAAGGACGCCCAGAGCCACAGGGAGGAUAGGAACAAAGGACUGAGUCUCACAACAAGCCAGGCUAAGUCAAGCAGAACUGGAGGAGUCAGGAGGGGAAAACAGUCGGGCCCCUCCAGCUAAGAGUGAGAUGUGGAGUGUGAGAGGAAGAGGCCGGAUGCAGUGGCUCACACCUGUAAUCCCAGCACUUUGGGAGGCCGAGGCGGGCAGAUCACCUGAGGUCUGGAGAUAGAGACCAUCCUGGCCAACAUGGUGAAACACCGUCUCUACUAAAAAUACAAAAAUUAGCUGGGUGUGGCGGUGCGCGCCUGUAGUCCCAGCUACUCAGGAGGCUGAGGCAUAAGAAUCUCUUGAACCUGGGAGGCGGCAGAGGUUGCAGUGAGCCUAGAUUGGGCCACUACACUCCAGCCUGGGCAAGAGAGGGAGAGUCUGUCUCAAAAAAUAAAAUAAAAUAAAAUAAAAUAAAAUAAAAUAAAAUAAAAUAAAAUAAAAUAAAGGGAAAUUUGGAC